This is a long non-coding RNA of Gasterosteus aculeatus aculeatus (three-spined stickleback), 1099 nucleotides long. The record is from Ensembl. Lineage: Eukaryota; Metazoa; Chordata; Actinopteri; Perciformes; Gasterosteidae.
CUCAUUUCUUUAUUUACUCACUUCCUUCUUCAACAUGCUGCACCACCAAUGUUUCCUCUGUGCUAUUGACACAGCAACAGGGCUGUAGAAUAAAUACAGAUAUUAUGGAGGAAAUAGUACAAAAGUCAAUAGUACAGCAUCUUUAAAAAGGAUCAGAGUAUUUCAUGUCAAAAGAAAUAAUACUAAUACAUCUUUAUUUGAUGGCCUGUUUAAACAUGUACAGUUGUUUCCAAUAAAAGUCAUUUAUUAACAUUAGAGCCAAACAAUUCUAUUUCUGUUAAAGUAACACAUGGAGUAAAUGUUGUAAAUGACAUUAUAGGGAAUAAAAACACAAGUAACGCAUAUUCAAUAUUUCCUUGAGAGGUUUGCUGAACCAUUAAAAAGCUUCUUGUUCAAAACAAUUCUGAUUAUGUGAAAUUAGAUUUGAUUUCACUCAACAGAUUUAGAAAGAUUUGAAGUUAAAAUGGGCUCAAAAAGAAUUACACAUUCAUAUUUUCCUUCUUCACCUUGUUUUUAUUAUUGCUGAUGAAGCGCACACACACAUAAGGACACAUUUGUCUCAUAUGGGGGGACAGAUGAAAGAGCGUCUUAUAAAAUGUCUUCUUGAACACAUAAAGAUGAAGAUUUAAGCCUAAUUAGGAGCCAAUAUCUAAAUGAUCAUCUAUUGAUUGAAGGAGCACAGCAGCAUUAAGCUGAGCUCUUUCACACUUCCAUCUGAGUCCCAGAGAGCUGUGGACCCCCCAGAGUCCAGACCAGCUCAGGUACCCCUCACCUGCUCCACCUGCAUCUACACCCACAUGAACCACCAUCAGCUGUACAGACUGAACUAUGUGGUGAGCAGAGAGGAAGGUUCUCCACCAGGAGGAGACUCUCCCUCCUGAAGAGGACACAGAGACACUGAGGAACCAGAACCAGGCCAGAACAAGAACCCAGGAUAAAGAGGUUCAGUGAAUGUGGUGCUGAAGGUGUGGAGGUGGAUCAGUGUGUCAGAGGAGACUCUGUAGAAGGACAGAGAGCCAGCAGGACAGUCCACAUACACUGCUAGUCUACCAGAGGAGGGAGGAGGAGGAGGAGGAGGAGGUGAUGCGUGUUACUGCCU